Molecule: ribosomal RNA, 347 nt
Filed under: Eleodes insularis
Lineage: Eukaryota; Metazoa; Arthropoda; Insecta; Coleoptera; Tenebrionidae
Description: partial 12S ribosomal RNA
Source: RNAcentral
UUUUAGUGUAAAUAAAUUAACUAAAACUACUAUAAGUUAUGGUCUUUAAAAUUAAAAAAUUUGGCGGUAUUUUAGUCUAUUCAGAGGAACCUGUUUUUUAAUCGAUAGUCCACGAUAAUUUAUACUUUAACUUUAAAUUUAUAUAUCGUCGUUAAUAAAAAUUUUAGGAAAAUUUAAAUUUUUAGGAUUUUUAAUUAGAAUUGAAUUCAGAUCAAGGUGUAGUUUAUGUUGAAGUUGGAAUGGGUUACAUUAUAUUUAUAUGUGGUUUUUUAAUUUAAAAUUAAAUUUAAAAUGGAUUUGAUAGUAAAUUCUUUAUUUUUAAGAGUUGAUUGAGCUCUAAAAUAUGC